UAGGGAAUCUUCGGCAAUGGACGGAAGUCUGACCGAGCAACGCCGCGUGAGUGAAGAAGGUUUUCGGAUCGUAAAGCUCUGUUGUUAGAGAAGAACGUUGGCAGGAGUGGAAAAUCUACCAAGUGACGGUAACUAACCAGAAAGGGACGGCUAACUACGUGCCAGCAGCCGCGGUAAUACGUAGGUCCCGAGCGUUGUCCGGAUUUAUUGGGCGUAAAGCGAGCGCAGGCGGUUCUUUAAGUCUGAAGUUAAAGGCAGUGGCUUAACCAUUGUACGCUUUGGAAACUGGAGGACUUGAGUGCAGAAGGGGAGAGUGGAAUUCCAUGUGUAGCGGUGAAAUGCGUGGAUAUAUGGAGGAACACCGGUGGCGAAAGCGGCUCUCUGGUCUGUAACUAACGCUGAGGCUCGAAAGCGUGGGGAGCAAACAGG
This 429-nucleotide ribosomal RNA is filed under the name Bacillota bacterium. RNAcentral describes it as "Firmicutes bacterium partial 16S ribosomal RNA". It matches the Rfam family "Bacterial small subunit ribosomal RNA", at positions 355 to 776 of the family's 1533-position model. The record is from RNAcentral. Lineage: Bacteria; Bacillati; Bacillota.